AUGCGAUUUGCAUUCGGCUCUGGGCGGAAAAAUCACGACGGGAAAAGCCCAGCCCCUUGUCAUGCAGACGGGAAGCUCGGGCGCACGUGUCAGGGCCCUUACGCCCCGCUUCGCUGGCACCAACACCUGGAUCGGGGCCUCCUUGUCCUGUGGGGGCAAGAACACAGGCCCGAGCCCCGGCGACCCCGCAGGCCUCCCACCCUCCGUGCGCAGCCCGCACUUCUCCGCACCCCAGCACUGCGCCUGGCGGGACCACCUGGGUCAUUUUUCCAUUCUGAUAACGUCCCAGUACUUCGUGGCUGCAAGCUCCUCAAGCUGGAGUACCCAAGCCCCAGGUCUGUGCAGGCACGAGGCAAAGCAGCAGAAUAUCCGUGCUACAUCUUUCUGGGGCACCCAUUUUACUACCAGGUUUGGAAGGAAUGAAGUUAAGUAAUUUCCAAGAAUCGUCUCCCCUGCUCCGCAAACAUGAAAGAAAAGAUGAGAGAAGCACCCCAGAAGAGGAAGGGAGAAAUGCCCCAGAAAAAAAAAUCAUCCAGUCUCCGAAGCUUCGCCCAGGUGGGCACAUGACAGCCAGUCUCUCCUCUGGCUGCCUGGCAGGCUGCAGGCUGUCACUGAACCUUCGGCCCAGCAUGCUUUUGAGUGCGCAGAAAUGCUGCACGCCCUCUUCUUUGAAAACCUGUUGAGCAAAUGCCUGCAGUUUAUGUACCUUCAACCUCCACUGCCAAAGCCUUCCGAGACCAAGCGUGCUGCGCACACGGCAGCUCUUUGUGUCCUGCUCCUGAGAAUCGCCUGCAUCAUCUUGUUGAGCUCCAUUGAACUCCACGGUCUGCGUGCUCUGUGGAACUCAAGGUCUUCAUUUCUCAUGGAAUUCAGGAUCAUUUUACGCCAUGGAACUCAAGGCCUUCAUUUUCUGUGGAACUCAGUCUUCUUGCUCUGUGGAACUCGGGGUCCUUUUUCUCCAUGGAACUUAGGGUCUUCUUGCUCCAUGGAACUCAGGGUCUGCAUGCUCCCUGGAAAGCACUGGGACACACUUGACCCCCCAUACCCACACAUACAUCCUUCGUUUUAUUCCUGCCCCUCACCUGUCCAUCCUAUGAGGUUUCUCCACUUCCACUCUGCUUUGAACCCAUGCCAGGUCUUUUGGGCUGGCCCGAAACAUGAGAGUUAGUCGGAGGGAGAGGCUGAGGUCACUCCUUAAGGCAAAUUCUGCUGGUGUCGCACCUGAUAGAGCUGCCUGGGGAGGACGUUUCCUUGGAGUUCAUGCCUGGGUGGCCACUGGCUUCUUAUGGUGCCAGCACUGCUGCUGGUGCCAUCAGGGAGCCACAGGGCCACAUGGAGACUGUGCUGGAAUUGGUGGGUCUCAUCUCUAGGUCAGGCGGGACUGGCAGGCACAUUGACUGUCCUCAUGGCCUCUCCCCUGACCCUGGUCCUCCCCAGGAUGCUGAUUUUCUGCACUGCUGCUCUUCCAGGAGGAAUUAAAAGGUGGGGAUGGCUAAACCCUCUGCUGUAGAUUAGCAGAGACCUUAGGCCAUGUCUUGCAAAAUGGGGAAGGACUGCAGAUGGUGGUGGGAUCGGCCGAAGGCUGGGGCUUCACGGUGAUGUUGAAGCCCUCCGCCCUUGGCAUGUUUGUAGAGCAGGUUCAGUUAGGUGGCCCGUCACCAACUCCUGGAUCUGGUCUCACUCGCAAGGCAUGGACACCAUGAGCUCAGUUUGCCAGGACUCUUGGAGUUAGGGAGAGCUCAGCGACAGGGUGGCUCUGAUUCCUUCUCAUGCUGAGACUCUGCUGGUGCUCCUCCAGGGAGCCCUGGGGUUUUUUCUUAGAUGCCUCUCUCACUGGAGUUGAGAAUUGGAAGUGUUUUCAGUGGGUUUGCACCCUCCACAUAUGUAAAAGGUGUUAGGUUUUCUUCCUUUCAGUAUCCAUUGCUGCAGCUUCCUGAAGUUGUAUCCAUUAAAAGGCAGGGACCCAGUGCCCAGGCUACAGAGGGUGACUUCAGGCUCCACACCACCACUGUGGGCCAGAGUGCCAGUGGCCUUAGAAUUCCCAGAUAGCACAAGGAGGCUGCCCCAGAGGGUGUUCAGCUUGUUGCCAACAAUUACUGAAUGCAGAUUCUGCAAGCUUGAUGUUCAGGUCAGCAGCCAAAAACAGGUGUUCUGUUUUUAGGUCCCUGUGGACAAGGCCCUUCUGGUCCUCCCCAGGCUACUGAUGUCUUGUGUUGCUUCUCUUAUGGUAGAAGCUAAAGAGGGAAUGGCUGGAGCUCAGCUGACUCCGGUUAGAGCCUGGGCUCUGUAUUGCAGACGUGACCCAGCAGAAUUCCUCAUGGGCCCCUUAUGUCAUGGGUACAGCUGCUGGAGCCAGGGUUGUCGCAAGCAGUAAAGGUAUUUACCAAGACAGUUGUGAGUAAAGAAAGGCAAAUGUAUUACAGAAAGUAUGAAAAUACAUUGCGAGAAUGCCACAAGCAGCACAGCACAGAAGGGGCUGUCUGCAAAGAUGCGAGGCUGGAGGGAAGUUUUCUAAGGUUGCGCUUCUCGGGCCUAUGUGCAGGUCAGCUUGUGUAUAUGCUAAGAACAUGUUGGAAUAAUUUUAACUGCCAGAUCUUUGCUAUCCUGGUGCCCGAGGGAAACCCUCUCCUGCUGUCAGCUGUCUUGUAACCCUCAUGCCUUUCAUUUCUGGAGUUGCGAUAUAGCGGCUGUGAUUUUUCACACAAAAGGGUUGCAGACUGGGUUAGGUCCCUGUUUCACUAGCCUGGCUCUUUCCCACUUCCUGUUAAUUUACUAAUCUAUUAGAGCCCCACACAUUUCUCUUUCAUAUGGCCAUGAUCCAGAAGGCAACGCAUCACCUCUCCUCAGCUACAGUGCUCCGUGCCCAGGCAGUAUCUCCUGGGUCUGGAGCACCUCAGUUUCACUGUCAGGGCCUUCACCAUACAGACUUGGCAGCAUAGUCUAGAGGCUGGAGGGACUCUGUGACUCUUGCUAAUGGCAGCCGCAGCCACCGUUUCCCCAAGCAGGAUGUGCUGGAAGAACUGCAUCUUGGCUUAACAGAAUUUUAUUACUGGUAGCUCAAAAAAGGAGGGAACAGAGCUUCUCUAGAUGAUUUCAGGGAACAAGCUACUAUUGGAAUGUUAAUUUAAGACUUUUAUCAAUUAAAAAUGUAAGAACCAAGAAUAUUCAGUUAGGAAGAAUGAAUAUAUUGAAUAAAUACUGUUAAACUUUAUGCUACUUUUCAACAAAUAUUUUCUGAUCAUCUCUGUGAGUCAGGCACUGUGGUAGAUAUCGUAACAUAGAAACAUAGCGUCCAUCAAAUACGGUGUGGGUACUGUAUUUCAAAUUUAAAAAUACAAUAAAGGUGCUGUAUAAGAAACAUGUCAGUGUCCUGGAGGCAGGGUCCAGAGACAUCUCCUGUGGAUAACAGGCUGAGUUUUAAGGGAUGAGCCUGGGUGAUGAGAUGGAUGGGAGAGAGCACCUAGGAAAAGUGUCUUCAGGCAACCAUGGUUCAGUGCCCUGCAGCCCUUGUGGCAGGAGAGUGAGGAGCACGGUCCUUCUGGUGAUUUCUGUGGUUAUGUUCUGUAAACUCGCCUCGAGUCCUGAAGUAUUGAUUCUGGAGAAUCACAGGGUAAGGUUCCCAGAAGCCUCUGGUCAUAAUGUUUUCAAGAGCCAAGGCACCAUUCAUGUACCAUGGGUUCAUUUUCCAACAUCCUUGUAAAAAAGCCAGUUCUCUCAGUGUUGAAAACUGCCCUUCCACAUACCCUUUUCCUGUAGAGCACUUUCUGAUCUACAGAGCUGCCGCUCUUGAAAAGCUCCCAUUUUCCAUGCCAUGGCGCCUCUCAAAAGGUGCCAGCCAGGCAGCACUAGCCGAGGAGUGGUUUUGGCUCUCCUCACAGCAGUGCUGCUCACAGUGCUUUCAUUGGUCGUCAUCUCAUGAAGUCUCAAAUGUGGCCGCUUCUCCACCUUUUCCACGGUUUCAUCACACGCUGUGGGUGUUGGUUUUGCACUUUCCCGAGCAGCCUUGUGUACAGGUUGGUGAAGCUCCUCUUCCUCUUUCUGGAUGCCCUGUAGUGUUUAUCAUUAGCAUUGAACUCACAGCUGGCCACACGAGAACCUACACCGAACCAAGCUUGGCUAACAAGUGUUUUCUCUGUAAGGCACACCACAGCCUUCUUGCUUAUAAGGACACUAGACAACGCUUCAGUGUUAUGUCUGGAGGCCGUUUCAAGCUGUGAAAUCAACAACAAGCUCAAAAAUGCAAAAGAAGUGUCACUAUAUAGACCAUGAGAAGACUAGUUUGCAGGUUGAGAGUGGGAAAAAGGAGGCAGUGUGGGGCCCUGCAUGGCUCAGAUUGUUGCCCUGCUCUGCACAUGUUUUCCUUUGACUGUGAAAGCAACACGAGUACUGCUUGGGGGACUAAAAAUACACUUUAACAAGCAGACAAGUUCACAAAUACGAAAUAGUGGCUAGCGAGGGACCACCCCCACGCUGGCGCUGCAGAUGAGGCUGUUGCAGGUAUGAGGCUUGCUUCUAUCCCGGGAGCUUCUGGUUGCCACCGCUGCCUUUGUACACCAAGGAGUGGUGUCACCUGUACUGUAGCAAAAGCACCUUUUCUCAAUGUAAAGCAUGGCUUGCAGAGAGGAAGACAGAGACUGGCUAGAACAUGGCUGUGUUGGGGUGAAGCAAGGAGGAGGGUGGAUAGACUAAGCCAGGUCAGAGGACCGAGGAGCCAACCUGAGAGCCCCGUGCACCUGUGAGUCCCGGCGAGGGAAUGUUGGUCAUGGAUACUGUUAAGGAGGAAGCAUCCAGGACAGCUCACAGGUCCCUGGCUGAGGAGCACGGGGGAGGGAUGGCAGGGCUCGGGAAUCCAGCCUUCAAGUCAGACACACCUGAGUUCAAGUAAAGACUGACUGGCUGUGUAGCCUUAGACGUGUUCCUUCACUUCCCUAAGCUUCUGUUUUCUCAUUUCCAGUACAUAGAUUCCUAUGCCAAAUGAAUAUUAAAUCAGUCAGUGAUUUUGAGGUUAAAAUGAGUGCUGGUACUUUUUAUCUAAAUAAAGAAAAUGGGAAAAGAGGCAGCAUUUGAGGUGGGAGGGAGAGGAGUCUAGGCAUGGGUAGUUGGACGUGCCCAUGGACACUCAUGGAAGAAUGUCCAGCAGCCAUCUGGUGUGCUUCCAGGAUGCCAGGGUAGGGACAUGGGAUGGCAGCAUACAGACCUGGAAGUUACAGCCAGGCAGGCGGCUGCUGCAGCUGCGAAGAGCAGGCAGUGCAGGAUCAGAGGGCUGGGGGUAAAGCCUGGGGAAUGCCCACAUUUAGGAAGAGACCAGGAAGGAGAUCAAAAAAGCAACAGGAAAAGCAGGAGGGUGUGAAGGGAUGGGAGGUGCAGGAGGAGGGUUUCCAGGAGGGAGUGGCAGGGGUCGGUGUUCUACAGACAAGGACUGGAAGUCAGCACUUUUGAACUGUAGGGACCUAAGAGAUCCUUUAGUCUAAUCCCCUUAUCUAUCCUGAGGAAGAAAUCAAGAUUCCAAGGUGAUGUGGGUUGCUUGCUAUAGAUCACAAUGUGAUUUCACAGUGGGAUACCUCGAUUUCUAAAGAGUAAUAAAAUAUUUAAUAAGUAUUCUAGGAUUGGAAUUGCUCCUAUUCAGUCACACUGGAUAUUUUCCCAAUUUGGUGAAACUGAGAUUUUCACAACUGUUAACCAUUCCAUGUACUAAGAUGCCUCUUAAACCUGUUUUUAUCAUAUAUUUCACAAAUUUUGCUAUAAAAAUAAGGUUAAAAACAACCUCGUCAAACUGCAUUUUAAUUUUAGUAAAUACAAAUUAUGCUGAAAGAGGAGGGUUUGAUGGCCCCCCUCACAGGAUGUGUGACAAGGGUGUGGCUCAUGUGUUCGGUCACCACCACCUAUUCAAACCCCUUACAGAAGGGGGAUCGUGCAGAUGGACAGGUGCAGGAGCACAAGUGGGUGUGUGUUACAGUGUGCUCUUUUAGCCUUGCCAUCUGUGGAUGGCUUGAGUGUUAACCAACUCAGUGGACCCUCAGACUUUCUGCAAAGGCAGAAGGCCAUUGUGACAGCUUUCUAUAUCCCAAGCCCUUGUCCGCAUCCUGGAAGAAUCAAGUCACACACGGACUUGAAGGAUGAAUGCAGGGGUUUCACUGAGGGGUUAGAAGUGGCUCUCAGCAAGAUGGAUGGGGAGCUGGAAGUGGGGAUGGAGUGGGAAGGUAAUCUUCCCUGGAGCUGAACGGAAGAACCACCCCCAGCUGAACUCGUCUCGGCUUUCAGAUGUUCCUCAUCUUCUCACUUUUUCUCCCAUGCUGUUCUGUUGUUUAUCUGCUUGUCUCUUCAUCUCCUCAUCUGCUCCUGGAACCUGCAGUCUGGGGUUGAUAUGGUUACAGAAUAUGGGAGCGUGGUGGGCCAAAAGGCACGUUUUAGGUAUGAAAACAGAAAUGCCUGUUCCCAUUGAGGGCCACAGGUUUUCAGGCUUCAGGGUGGGCCUCUGCUGGGGAGCCACCCUCUUAUACGCAGUAUUUCCCUGUCUCCUUUCCAUAUUAACACCUCCAUAAAAUUCAGUUUGAAAAAACAGCACAAGUUAAAAGUUUGGCUAUUUAAACUAAAAAGUAAUUAUUUGCUAAAUUAUUUUGUAUACAAAGACCCAAGGAUUAGAAAUACUUUAAUAUUUGGAGCUUGACUCUCCUUUGAAGGCACCAUUCAUUCCUGAGCCAUCUUGGUUUCCCUCAUGAGGCAGCAGGAGUGCCACCGAAUGAGCACGGGCAAAAUCGCUGGAUACAGUUAGUCAGUACAUUCUAUUUUCUGAAAAAUACCACCUAACUACUUGUAUAGAUAUAGAAUUGCAUUUUCAAGCCAAGUUGGAAUUACAAAUUGUAGCCCAUUUGAAAAUGUAUAAAUGUGUGACAUACACACCCAGAGGAAAAGAAGUCACAAUUAUGAAAGAACAAAGUGGGAAAAUAACUCUUUCAUGUAAGAUUAAACAUUUUGGUUGCUUACUGAAAUAAAAAUACCUGUGACUGAU
Non-coding RNA from Callithrix jacchus (white-tufted-ear marmoset), 7009 nucleotides. NCBI's taxonomy places the organism in Eukaryota, Metazoa, Chordata, Mammalia, Primates, Cebidae. The record is from RefSeq and is a predicted model, not a curated record.